UGAAUUCGUAGUCAUAUGCUUGUCUCAAAGAUUAAGCCAUGCAUGUCUAAGUAUAAGCAAUCUAUACAGUGAAACUGCGAAUGGCUCAUUAAAUCAGUUAUCGUUUAUUUGAUGAUACCUUUACUACUUGGAUAACCGUGGUAAUUCUAGAGCUAAUACAUGCAUAACAAGCCCCGACCCUUCGGAAGGGGUGUAUUUAUUAGAUAAAAAACCAAUGCCUUCGGGCUCUUUGGUGAUUCAUAGUAACUUCACGAAUCGCAUAGCCUUGUGCUGGCGAUGGUUCAUUCAAAUUUCUGCCCUAUCAACUUUCGAUGGUAGGAUAUAGGCCUACCAUGGUUUCAACGGGUAACGGGGAAUUAGGGUUCUAUUCCGGAGAGGGAGCCUGAGAAACGGCUACCACAUCCAAGGAAGGCAGCAGGCGCGCAAAUUACCCAAUCCCGACACGGGGAGGUAGUGACAAUAAAUACUGAUACAGGGGGCUUUUGCUUCGUGUAAUUGGAAUGAGUACAAUUUAAAUCUCUUAACGAGGAACAAUUGGAGGGCAAGUCUGGUGCCAGCAGCCGCGGUAAUUCCAGCUCCAAUAGCGUAUAUUAAAGUUGUUGCAGUUAAAAAGCUCGUAGUUGAACCUUGGGCCUGGCCGGCCGGUCUGCCUCACCGCAUGCACUGGUUUGGUUGGGCCUUUCCUUCUGGGGAGCCGCAUGCCCUUUACUGGGUGUGUUGGGGAACCAGGACUUUUACUUUGAAAAAAUUAGAGUGUUUAAAGCAGGCAUUGGCUCGAAUACAUUAGCAUGGAAUAAUAGAAUAGGACGCGUGGUUCUAUUUUGUUGGUUUCUAGGACCACCGUAAUGAUUAAUAGGGAUAGUCGGGGGCAUCAGUAUUCAAUCGUCAGAGGUGAAAUUCUUGGAUCGAUUGAAGACUAACUACUGCGAAAGCAUUUGCCAAGGAUGUUUUCAUUAAUCAGGGAACGAAAGUUAGGGGAUCGAAGACGAUCAGAUACCGUCGUAGUCUUAACCAUAAACUAUGCCCGACUAGGGAUUGGGCGAUGUUCAUCAAUGACUUCGCUUCAGCACCUUACGAGAAAUCAAAAGUCUU
RNAcentral lists this ribosomal RNA (1092 nucleotides) under Peziza varia. RNAcentral's name for it is "SSU rRNA". It matches the Rfam family "Eukaryotic small subunit ribosomal RNA", at positions 1 to 1107 of the family's 1831-position model. Lineage: Eukaryota; Fungi; Ascomycota; Pezizomycetes; Pezizales; Pezizaceae. The record is from RNAcentral.